Molecule: unclassified non-coding RNA, 840 nt
Filed under: Hevea brasiliensis (rubber tree)
Lineage: Eukaryota; Viridiplantae; Streptophyta; Magnoliopsida; Malpighiales; Euphorbiaceae
Source: RNAcentral
UCACAAUCUCCAAAUUUCGAUGUGUAGGUCCACGGAUUACCGGAUUCUCGGCGGUGAUCGUCUCAAGAUCAAGGCAUUCUUCGUUCGAUUUUCCCAUCUCGAACCCCUAAGUCCUCCGCCGGAGUCGCUCACUCUCUUCUACCUCCCGCGCAUUGACGAGACCGACCUCGAGAUCGACGGCCUCAAGAUCCGGCCGGACUCGCCGGCGUUCGUCACUCUUCAUCGAGUCGUAUCGUCGUCGAGGAUGAAGAAGGAUGUGGUGUUUGGGAGUAGGGAGCGAGUUCGAGCGAGCGAAGGCGUGCAGUUUCAGGUGUAUUUGAGGGAGGAGAAGGUUGUGCAGGGGAUUUUUAGGAAGAGCGACGACGGAGAAUGGAGAUUGGAGUGUAGAUGCACGCUUGAAUCUGAGAUUGAUGGAGCAGCGGCGGGGGCGGCGGAUGUUUGCGUGGAUGUGGAGGGACAGGAAGCGAUGUGUGAGAAGGUGGUUCUAGAAGUGAGAAGGAAGAAGAGGAGAGGAUUCUGUGGACUGGAGGAGAUUCCGGAGGGACGAGAAGUGGACGGUGAGUGCGAGGGAUGUGGUUGUUGUUGCGGAGAUGAUGGAGAUUCAUCGGAGGAUGACGGCGGCGAUGAUGACGAUGAAGACGGCGGAGGAAAGCAGGUGGAGAUGGAGAUGGAGGUGGAAGGGGUCCGAUGGGCCGUAGAUUUGGGGAUUUGGGCCGUGUGUUUGGGCGUUGGAUACUUGGUAUCGAGGGCGGCCCAGUCCAAAACAUUGAGACGGAAACGAAUUUUCUGAAGCAUUGAGAAAAAAAUAAUUAAUUUUGUUUUAUCGGGAUUUUUUUUUAA